RNAcentral lists this ribosomal RNA (576 nucleotides) under uncultured Sulfobacillus sp. RNAcentral's name for it is "bacterial SSU rRNA". It matches the Rfam family "Bacterial small subunit ribosomal RNA", at positions 94 to 677 of the family's 1533-position model. The record is from RNAcentral. Lineage: Bacteria; Bacillati; Bacillota; Clostridia; Eubacteriales; Clostridiales Family XVII. Incertae Sedis.
AGCGGCGGACGGGUGAGGAACACGUGAGUGAUCUAUCGAUGAGUGGGGGAUAUCGGGCCGAAAGGCGCGGCAAUCCCGCAUACGUUCCUACGGGAAGAAAGCUGGGCAACUGGCGCUCAUCGCGGAGCUCGCGGCCCAUUAGCUAGUUGGGGGGGUAACGGCCUCCCAAGGCGACGAUGGGUAGCCGGCCUGAGAGGGUGAACGGCCACACUGGGACUGAGACACGGCCCAGACUCCUACGGGAGGCAGCAGUAGGGAAUCUUCCACAAUGGGCGCAAGCCUGAUGGAGCAACGCCGCGUGAGUGAAGACGGCCUUCGGGUUGUAAAGCUCUGUCUGUCGGGACGAAGACCGGGACGGGAGUCCCGGGGAGCCGGUACCGACGAAGGAAGCCCCUGCAAACUACGUGCCAGCAGCCGCGGUAAGACGUAGGGGGCAAGCGUUGUCCGGAAUUACUGGGCGUAAAGGGCGUGUAGGCGGUGCGAUACGUAGCGGUUUUAAGCCUCCGGCUCACCCGGAGGAGGGCGGCUAAACGGUCGCACUGGAGGGCAGGAGAGGUGCGUGGAAUUCCUGGUGGA